AGUCCAUGGUGCAGGCAUCUCCUUAGCAGCUCCUUAAACCUCUCUCAUGCUUCAUAAAAUCGCCCACCAUCUAUCUGCAUAAAUGUAGUAAUAUCGUUACACAUUUU
Molecule: small nucleolar RNA, 107 nt
Organism: Syzygium oleosum
Lineage: Eukaryota; Viridiplantae; Streptophyta; Magnoliopsida; Myrtales; Myrtaceae
Source: RefSeq, a predicted model, not a curated record